Molecule: ribosomal RNA, 253 nt
Filed under: uncultured bacterium
Lineage: Bacteria
Description: partial 16S ribosomal RNA
Rfam family: Bacterial small subunit ribosomal RNA
Source: RNAcentral
UACGUAGGGGGCAAGCGUUGUGCGGAUUUAUUGGGCGUAAAGAGCGUGUAGGCGGUUUGGUAGGUCCGUUGGGAAAACUCGAGGCUCAACCUCGAGACGCCGAUGGAAACCAUCAGACUAGAGUCCGGAAGAGGAGAGUGGAAUUCCUGGUGUAGCGGUGAAAUGCGCAGAUAUCAGGAAGAACACCCGUGGCUAAGGCGGCUCUCUAGUACGGUACUGACGCUGAGACGCGAAAGCGUGGGGAGCGAACAGG